Molecule: ribosomal RNA, 460 nt
Filed under: uncultured bacterium
Lineage: Bacteria
Description: partial 16S ribosomal RNA
Rfam family: Bacterial small subunit ribosomal RNA
Source: RNAcentral
CCUACGGGAGGCAGCAGUGAGGAAUAUUGGUCAAUGGACGAGAGUCUGAACCAGCCAAGUAGCGUGAAGGAUGACUGCCCUAUGGGUUGUAAACUUCUUUUAUAAAGGAAUAAAACGAGGCACGUGUGCCUUUUUGCAUGUACUUUAUGAAUAAGGAUCGGCUAACUCCGUGCCAGCAGCCGCGGUAAUACGGAGGAUGCGAGCGUUAUCCGGAUUUAUUGGGUUUAAAGGGAGCGUAGACGGGUUGUUAAGUCAGUUGUUAAAGUUUGCGGCUCAACCGUAAAAUUGCAAUUGAUACUGGCAGUCUUGAGUUCAGUUGAGGUAGGCGGAAUUCGUGGUGUAGCGGUGAAAUGCUUAGAUAUCACGAAGAACCCCGAUUGCGAAGGCACCUUACUAAACUGUGACUGACAUUGAUGCUCGAAAGUGUGGGUAUCAAACAGGAUUAGAUACCCCGGUAGUC